This 1376-nucleotide small RNA is filed under the name Pan troglodytes (chimpanzee). RNAcentral describes it as "processed transcript". The record is from RNAcentral. Lineage: Eukaryota; Metazoa; Chordata; Mammalia; Primates; Hominidae.
AAUGCACCACAAGCUUUUGUUUGCACUUGUUUCACUUUUGUUUAAAAGUAAAGAACGGUAGUACAGCACGUAAUCCAGGGUGCUGAUGUUGUGGGAGGGGACUUAAAACAGAGUAAGGAAAUCAGAAACAAUUUUCUCCACACAGAAAAGAACAGAACUCUCUUACCUAUGAACCAGAAAAAUGUUUUACAAGGGCAGCAUGAAGCGGACAAAAUCUGGAGCAAAGAAGGAUUUUAUGCUGUUGUCAUUUUUCUCAGCAUCUUUGUUAUUAUAGUAACGUGUUUGAUGAUUCUUUACAGAUUAAAAGAAAGAUUUCAGCUUUCCUUAAGACAAGACAAAGAGAAAAACCAGGAGAUCCACCUAUCGCCCAUCACAUUACAGCCAGCACUGUCUGAGGCAAAGACAGUCCACAGCAUGGUCCAACCUGAGCAGGCCCCAAAGGUACUGAAUGUUGUCGUGGACCCUCAAGGCCGAGGUGCUCCUGAGAUCAAAGCUACCACCGCUACCUCUGUUUGCCCUUCUCCUUUCAAAAUGAAGCCCAUAGGACUUCAAGAGAGAAGAGGGUCCAACGUAUCUCUUACAUUGGACAUGAGUAGCUUGGGGAACAUUGAACCCUUUGUGUCUAUACCAACACCACGGGAGAAGGUAGCAAUGGAGUAUCUGCAGUCAGCCAGCCGAAUUCUCACAAGAUCUCAGCUGAGGGACGUCGUGGCAAGUUCACAUUUACUCCAAAGUGAAUUCAUGGAAAUACCAAUGAACUUUGUGGAUCCCAAAGAAAUUGAUAUUCCGCGUCAUGGAACUAAAAAUCGCUAUAAGACCAUUUUACCAAAUCCCCUCAGCAGAGUGUGUUUAAGACCAAAAAAUGUAACCGAUUCAUUGAGCACCUACAUUAAUGCUAAUUAUAUUAGGGGCUACAGUGGCAAGGAGAAAGCCUUCAUUGCCACGCAGGGCCCCAUGAUCAACACCGUGGAUGAUUUCUGGCAGAUGGUUUGGCAGGAAGACAGCCCUGUGAUUGUUAUGAUCACAAAACUCAAAGAAAAAAAUGAGAAAUGUGUGCUAUACUGGCCGGAAAAGAGAGGGAUAUAUGGAAAAGUUGAGGUUCUGGUUAUCAGUGUAAAUGAAUGUGAUAACUACACCAUUCGAAACCUUGUCUUAAAGAAAUAAAUUGCCAGCAAGAUGGGGGUGAUAAAAGGCAUUCAGUAUUGUGGUUUGGAUGACUUUUAGUUCUGCAAGUGAAUGAGGCAUUUGGUGGCUGUUGCUAUUUUCAGCAAGGAAGCCACACCCAACAUGUGAAGCAUUACUGGUACACCUCAUGGCCUGAUCACAAGACUCCAGACAGUGCCCAGCCCCUCCUACAGCUCAUGCUGGAUGUAGAA